AGAGUUUGAUCAUGGCUCAGGAUGAACGCUGGCGGCGUGCUUAACACAUGCAAGUCGAGCGAGAAGCUUGUGAAUGAUCCUUCGGGUGAAUGAAUAAGUGGAAAGCGGCGGACGGGUGAGUAACGCGUGGGUAACCUGCCCCAUACAAAGGGAUAGCCACUGGAAACGGUGAUUAAUACCAUAUAACACCAUAGUAUCGCAUGAUACAUUGGUCAAAGAUUUAUCGGUAUGGGAUGGACCCGCGUCUGAUUAGCUAGUUGGUAAGGUAACGGCUUACCAAGGCGACGAUCAGUAGCCGACCUGAGAGGGUGAUCGGCCACACUGGAACUGAGACACGGUCCAGACCCCUACGGGAGGCAGCAGUGGGGAAUAUUGCACAAUGGGCGCAAGCCUGAUGCAGCAACGCCGCGUGAGCGAUGAAGGCCUUCGGGUCGUAAAGCUCUGUCCUCAAGGAAGAAUAAAUGACGGUACUUGAGGAGGAAGCCCCGGCUAACUACGUGCCAGCAGCCGCGGUAAUACGUAGGGGGCAAGCGUUAUCCGGAAUCACUGGGCGUAAAGGGUGCGUAGGCGGUUCUUCAAGUCAGAAGUGAAAGGCAAUGGCUCAACCAUUGUAAGCUUUUGAAACUGUAGGACUUGAGUGCAGGAGAGGAAAGUGGAAUUCCUAGUGUAGAGGUGAAAUUCGUAGAUAUUAGGAGGAACA
Molecule: ribosomal RNA, 700 nt
Filed under: uncultured bacterium
Lineage: Bacteria
Description: bacterial SSU rRNA
Rfam family: Bacterial small subunit ribosomal RNA
Source: RNAcentral